Carcharodon carcharias (great white shark) is the source of this 653-nucleotide long non-coding RNA. RefSeq lists it as uncharacterized. NCBI's taxonomy places the organism in Eukaryota, Metazoa, Chordata, Chondrichthyes, Lamniformes, Lamnidae. The transcript has 2 exons. The record is from RefSeq and is a predicted model, not a curated record.
GGGGGGGGUUGGGGUGGAUUUGGACCCUUAUCCUUACGGCAUUAGCCUGGGCCCCUGGAUUGUCCAGUGACAUGACCACUACGCCACUUUCUUCCCACCUUGUUGAAGUGCGCCCUUCCUCUGUUGGGGUCUGUCUUCUCCCCCUUUUUAACACUGCUCCAAGCACAGUCUCCUCCUGGAUCCUGGAUUGUGCCAGUGGCUUGCUCCUUCCACCCCUUGCAGAAGGUCCAGGGUUUACAGUUGCACACUCGCCUUUUACACUUCAGUAAGAUGCCAUUAACAACCAUGCCACUGUCUGCUUUUUAGGAGCCUGUGUGUAUGUGACGUGGACACCACGAGAACUAUCUAACAGAACCUUAGACGCCAAUGUACAGGAGAAACCUCCUUGGAUUAGAGAGUUCAUUUUUAAACAUAAAGAAAAAUCUUAUCUCGCUAUAUAUGCUCAGAUUUAAUAUAAAGUUUUAUAUAUUAAAAUAUUAUAAUUGUAAAUAUGGAGGUGUUUUUACAUAGUAAUUAUUUAUGUACUUUGCAGCAUAUACGAAGAUUACAGAGGUGACUAAUGCACUUUGUUAAAUGUUGGUAUAUCACCAUCUAGCUAUCCUGAAAGAUGUUAACGUGAAUGUAAACUAGUAAACUCACAUUUUAUCCACUGU